This 484-nucleotide ribosomal RNA is filed under the name uncultured bacterium. Its description in RNAcentral is "partial 16S ribosomal RNA". It matches the Rfam family "Bacterial small subunit ribosomal RNA", at positions 30 to 507 of the family's 1533-position model. The record is from RNAcentral.
AUUGAACGCUGGCGGCAGGCCUAACACAUGCAAGUCGAGCGGAUGAAGGGAGCUUGCUCCUGGAUUCAGCGGCGGACGGGUGAGUAAUGCCUAGGAAUCUGCCUGGUAGUGGGGGAUAACGUCCGGAAACGGGCGCUAAUACCGCAUACGUCCUGAGGGAGAAAGUGGGGGAUCUUCGGACCUCACGCUAUCAGAUGAGCCUAGGUCGGAUUAGCUAGUUGGUGGGGUAAAGGCCUACCAAGGCGACGAUCCGUAACUGGUCUGAGAGGAUGAUCAGUCACACUGGAACUGAGACACGGUCCAGACUCCUACGGGAGGCAGCAGUGUGGAAUAUUGGACAAAGGGCGAAAGCCUGAUCCAGCCAUGCCGCGUGUGUGAAGAAGGUCUUCGGAUUGUAAAGCACUUUAAGUUGGGAGGAAGGGCAGUAAGUUAAUACCUUGCUGUUUUGACGUUACCAACAGAAUAAGCACCGGCUAACUUCGUG